UCUCCUGGAAACGGGUGGUAAUGCCGGAUGUUCCACAUGAGCGCAUGCGAGUGUGGGAAAGGCUUUUUGCGGCAUGGGAUGGGGUCGCGUCCUAUCAGCUUGUUGGUGGGGUAACGGCCUACCAAGGCGUUGACGGGUAGCCGGCCUGAGAGGGCGACCGGCCACAUUGGGACUGAGAUACGGCCCAGACUCCUACGGGAGGCAGCAGUGGGGAAUAUUGCACAAUGGGCGCAAGCCUGAUGCAGCGACGCCGCGUGCGGGAUGGAGGCCUUCGGGUUGUAAACCGCUUUUGUUCAAGGGCAAGGCACGGUUUCGGCCGUGUUGAGUGGAUUGUUCGAAUAAGCACCGGCUAACUACGUGCCAGCAGCCGCGGUAAUACGUAGGGUGCAAGCGUUAUCCGGAUUUAUUGGGGCGUAAAGGGCUCGUAGGCGGUUCGUCGCGUCCGGUGUGAAAGUCCAUCGCUUAACGGUGGAUCCGCGCCGGGUACGGGCCGGGCUUGAGUGCGGUAGGGGAGACUGGAAAUUCCCGGUGUAACGGUGGAAAUGUGUAGAUAUCCGGGAAGAACCACCA
This 570-nucleotide ribosomal RNA is filed under the name uncultured Bifidobacterium sp. RNAcentral's name for it is "bacterial SSU rRNA". It matches the Rfam family "Bacterial small subunit ribosomal RNA", at positions 146 to 711 of the family's 1533-position model. The record is from RNAcentral. Lineage: Bacteria; Bacillati; Actinomycetota; Actinomycetes; Bifidobacteriales; Bifidobacteriaceae.